RNAcentral lists this ribosomal RNA (874 nucleotides) under Flavobacteriaceae bacterium 26-4PB. RNAcentral describes it as "bacterial SSU rRNA". It matches the Rfam family "Bacterial small subunit ribosomal RNA", at positions 57 to 935 of the family's 1533-position model. The record is from RNAcentral. Lineage: Bacteria; Pseudomonadati; Bacteroidota; Flavobacteriia; Flavobacteriales; Flavobacteriaceae.
GCAGCCGAGCGGUAGAAGAUCUUCGGAUCUUUGAGAGCGGCGUACGGGUGCGUAACACGUGUGCAACCUACCUUUAUCUGGGAGAUAGCCUUUCGAAAGGAAGAUUAAUAUCCCAUAAUAUAUUGAAUGGCAUCAUUUGAUAUUGAAAGCUCCGGCGGAUAGAGAUGGGCACGCGCAAGAUUAGAUAGUUGGUGAGGUAACGGCUCACCAAGUCAAUGAUCUUUAGGGGGCCUGAGAGGGUGAUCCCCCACACUGGUACUGAGACACGGACCAGACUCCUACGGGAGGCAGCAGUGAGGAAUAUUGGACAAUGGGUGAAAGCCUGAUCCAGCCAUCCCGCGUGAAGGAUGACGGCCCUACGGGUUGUAAACUUCUUUUGUACAGGAAUAAACCUAGAUACGUGUAUCUAGCUGAAGGUACUGUACGAAUAAGCACCGGCUAACUCCGUGCCAGCAGCCGCGGUAAUACGGAGGGUGCAAGCGUUAUCCGGAUUUAUUGGGUUUAAAGGGUCCGUAGGCGGACCUGUAAGUCAGUGGUGAAAUCUCAUAGCUUAACUAUGAAACUGCCAUUGAUACUGCAGGUCUUGAGUGAAUUAGAGGUAGCUGGAAUAAGUAGUGUAGCGGUGAAAUGCAUAGAUAUUACUUAGAACACCAAUUGCGAAGGCAGGUUACCAUGAUUCAACUGACGCUGAGGGACGAAAGCGUGGGGAGCGAACAGGAUUAGAUACCCUGGUAGUCCACGCCGUAAACGAUGCUAACUCGUUUUUGGGGCUUCGGCUUCAGAGACCAAGCGAAAGUGAUAAGUUAGCCACCUGGGGAGUACGUUCGCAAGAAUGAAACUCAAAGGAAUUGACGGGGGCCCGCACAAGCGGUGG